GAACACAAUUCUGAUUUCUCUUCUUCCUCACUUCGUUUUCUCUGUUCUCUAUAGCUUGAAUCGAACAAAUGUGCUUCUUCCCAUAUACAAGUUUCAGGCAAAGGUUUCGCUUCAUGUGCUAGGUACACUUUAUUGAGGUUCAAAGGUAAUGCUUAGGAGUAGCUUUUUUCUUUCCCAGCAACAUCAUUAGAUUUUUAUUAUACUGGAAGAUAUCACAUAAAUAAGAAAAGUGUGCCCAUUAAAUCUAUUUAUCCGCAAUGCAAAGACAAGGAGAUAUUCAUCCGUUUCAGUUUAUGUGAACCUAUUUCCUUUUUGGUCCGUUUAAAAAUGAAUGACCUCUUUCUAAAUUUAGAAACAAUUUAGCUUAAAGUUCCAAUUCUACCCUUAAUGAGAUAUUUUUAUAACCACACAAAUACUCUGGGCUCCUUUUUGACUUGUUUAUGACCGCAAAUUUCUUAAAGUUUUCAAUUUUUCUUUAAUUCCAUGCCCAGUCAAACACGUUCAAUAAAUUGGAACUGAAGGAGUACUAAUUAGAAUUAUGGUUUAUUUGUUCUGUCACUCUUACAUUGGGUCAGGUGUUUGUUUACCAAGUUUUUUUCUAGUUUGGUCAGGAACUUGUGUGUCAGUGCCGGAUAAGUGUGAGAUUUGAAGAACCUCUAGUUUGCCUAAACAGAUAAUUUAUUUAAUAUUGAAAUAAUAUAGACAAAAUGGAGCCGGAGGUUACAGAAGAUUCAUAUGGCAACCCAACUAAUUUAGGAUUGAGAAUAGUUGAUUGAUCCAUAGAGGCAACAGAAGAGCAUAGAUUGUUGAUGAGGAAGUCUUCUGUGUCAUACAUCUGGUUACCAUGUAUUUCUUUUACUUUGGGUGGGUUUAGAAUGUUUGUCGGGUUUAUAUAUGGCAUAUCAAAUUGCUACUCUUGAUCACUGGCAAGUCCCUAAAAGCUGUUUAACUUUAGACUCGAGUGGAGUAAGAGGGCUAAGCCUCUAGGGGAGCCUUCAGGGACUUGGCAAGACAGGUGGAUUAAAGAGUUAGAGCGGGGCAAAUCGAAACUCCUGUCCGUCGGGAUUGUCAUGGACUAGCUGCCUCAACAACAUUUUUGGCCACAACUGUUUUGGCAUGUGCAGCUGGAGCAUAUUAUUCUACAAAGUUAUCUUUCCCAGAAUCAAUGUGAUCCGUGCAAACGACUUGGAAUAUGCAGGGAAGCUUGAGAGGAUGAGAUACAUGCUGCUAGAAACUUCCUAGAACAAAUGCAUGCUGGUCAUAAGCCAAGUGUGGAUGCAAUUGAAUAAGACCAUGAUAAAA
Molecule: non-coding RNA, 1302 nt
Organism: Nicotiana tabacum (common tobacco)
Lineage: Eukaryota; Viridiplantae; Streptophyta; Magnoliopsida; Solanales; Solanaceae
Source: RefSeq, a predicted model, not a curated record